GACGAACGCUGGCGGCGUGCUUAACACAUGCAAGUCGAACGAAGAGCGAUGGAAGCUUGCUUCUAUCAAUCUUAGUGGCGAACGGGUGAGUAACGCGUAAUCAACCUGCCCUUCAGAGGGGGACAACAGUUGGAAACGACUGCUAAUACCGCAUACGAUCUAAUCUCGGCAUCGAGGAUAGAUGAAAGGUGGCCUCUACAUGUAAGCUAUCACUGAAGGAGGGGAUUGCGUCUGAUUAGCUAGUUGGAGGGGUAACGGCCCACCAAGGCGAUGAUCAGUAGCCGGUCUGAGAGGAUGAACGGCCACAUUGGGACUGAGACACGGCCCAGACCCCUACGGGAGGCAGCAGUGGGGAAUCUUCCGCAAUGGACGAAAGUCUGACGGAGCAACGCCGCGUGAGUGAUGACGGCCUUCGGGUUGUAAAGCUCUGUUAAUCGGGACGAAAGGCCUUCUUGCGAAUAGUGAGAAGGAUUGACGGUACCGGAAUAGAAAGCCACGGCUAACUACGU
This 509-nucleotide ribosomal RNA is filed under the name uncultured bacterium. Its description in RNAcentral is "partial 16S ribosomal RNA". It matches the Rfam family "Bacterial small subunit ribosomal RNA", at positions 28 to 506 of the family's 1533-position model. The record is from RNAcentral.